Molecule: ribosomal RNA, 795 nt
Filed under: uncultured Staphylococcus sp.
Lineage: Bacteria; Bacillati; Bacillota; Bacilli; Caryophanales; Staphylococcaceae
Description: bacterial SSU rRNA
Rfam family: Bacterial small subunit ribosomal RNA
Source: RNAcentral
UGCCUAAUACAUGCAAGUCGAGCGAACAGACGAGGAGCUUGCUCCUCUGACGUUAGCGGCGGACGGGUGAGUAACACGUGGAUAACCUACCUAUAAGACUGGGAUAACUUCGGGAAACCGGAGCUAAUACCGGAUAAUAUAUUGAACCGCAUGGUUCAAUAGUGAAAGACGGUUUUGCUGUCACUUAUAGAUGGAUCCGCGCCGCAUUAGCUAGUUGGUAAGGUAACGGCUUACCAAGGCAACGAUGCGUAGCCGACCUGAGAGGGUGAUCGGCCACACUGGAACUGAGACACGGUCCAGACUCCUACGGGAGGCAGCAGUAGGGAAUCUUCCGCAAUGGGCGAAAGCCUGACGGAGCAACGCCGCGUGAGUGAUGAAGGUCUUCGGAUCGUAAAACUCUGUUAUUAGGGAAGAACAAAUGUGUAAGUAACUAUGCACGUCUUGACGGUACCUAAUCAGAAAGCCACGGCUAACUACGUGCCAGCAGCCGCGGUAAUACGUAGGUGGCAAGCGUUAUCCGGAAUUAUUGGGCGUAAAGCGCGCGUAGGCGGUUUUUUAAGUCUGAUGUGAAAGCCCACGGCUCAACCGUGGAGGGUCAUUGGAAACUGGAAAACUUGAGUGCAGAAGAGGAAAGUGGAAUUCCAUGUGUAGCGGUGAAAUGCGCAGAGAUAUGGAGGAACACCAGUGGCGAAGGCGACUUUCUGGUCUGUAACUGACGCUGAUGUGCGAAAGCGUGGGGAUCAAACAGGAUUAGAUACCCUGGUAGUCCACGCCGUAAACGAUGAGUGCUAAGUG